UACGGAGGGUGCGAGCGUUGUCCGGAAUCACUGGGCGUAAAGGGCGCGUAGGUGGCGCGGCAAGUCAACGGUGAAAGCUCGACGCUCAACGUCGAGUCGGCCGUCGAUACUGCCGCGCUGGAGCACUGUAGAGGCUCAUGGAAUUCCGGGUGUAGCGGUGGAAUGCGUAGAGAUCCGGAAGAACACCGGUGGCGAAGGCGGUGAGCUGGGCAGCUGCUGACACUGAGGCGCGACAGCGUGGGGAGCAAACAGG
Molecule: ribosomal RNA, 253 nt
Filed under: uncultured bacterium
Lineage: Bacteria
Description: partial 16S ribosomal RNA
Rfam family: Bacterial small subunit ribosomal RNA
Source: RNAcentral